GGUGGCUCAGUGGUAGAGUGCUUGCCUGGCAUGCAUGAGGCCCUGGGUUCAAUUCCUCAGUACCA
RNAcentral lists this transfer RNA (65 nucleotides) under Dipodomys ordii (Ord's kangaroo rat). It matches the Rfam family "tRNA". Rfam says of the family: Transfer RNA (tRNA) molecules are approximately 80 nucleotides in length. Their secondary structure includes four short double-helical elements and three loops (D, anti-codon, and T loops). Lineage: Eukaryota; Metazoa; Chordata; Mammalia; Rodentia; Heteromyidae. The record is from Rfam by way of RNAcentral.